CUGCAGCCCGAGUGGUGAUCGAUUUUAUUGAGCCUAAAGCGUCCGUAGCCGGACUAGUAAAUUCUUGGGUAAAUCGGGCAGCUUAACUGUCCGACUUCCGAGGGGACUGCUAGUCUUGGGACCGGGAGAGGUCAGAGGUACUCAAGGGGUAGGGGCUAAAUCCUGUAAUCCUUUGGGGACCACCAGUGGCGAAGGCGUCUGACUAGAACGGAUCCGACGGUAAGGGACGAAACCCUGGGGCGCGAACCGGAUUAGAUACCCGAGUAGUCC
RNAcentral lists this ribosomal RNA (270 nucleotides) under uncultured archaeon. RNAcentral describes it as "partial 16S ribosomal RNA". It matches the Rfam family "Archaeal small subunit ribosomal RNA", at positions 477 to 747 of the family's 1478-position model. The record is from RNAcentral.